Molecule: ribosomal RNA, 247 nt
Filed under: uncultured bacterium
Lineage: Bacteria
Also listed under: 1 other name
Description: partial 16S ribosomal RNA
Rfam family: Bacterial small subunit ribosomal RNA
Source: RNAcentral
CACGCCCUAAACGAUGUCAACUGGUUGUUGGGAAUUCACUUUCUCAGUAACGAAGCUAACGCGUGAAGUUGACCGCCUGGGGAGUACGGCCGCAAGGUUAAAACUCAAAGGAAUUGACGGGGACCCGCACAAGCGGUGGAUGAUGUGGUUUAAUUCGAUGCAACGCGAAAAACCUUACCCACCUUUGACAUGUAUGGAAGGCCGCAGAGACGCGGUUGUGCCCGAAAGGGAGCCAUAACACAGGUGC